UUCUUUUCAUCUACCACCAUCAUGCAACAGGAAACACACCCAAAAAAAUAUCAGUGUGAAGAUCAUACGAACAAUGACAAAGCACAACAAAGCACCAAACCUCCUCUGGGUCCCUCUCACACUGAGUGGGCAGUUUGACCGGCCACACAACCGAACUUGAAGUUUUCAGGAUUGUGUUUGUUCAUUUCAGAAUCUCUCGCUCAGAUGAAGCUGAUUGAUCUCAGUGUCCUCUUGAUUCUGGCCUCCUAUUCAGAAGGUCAGAACUGGACUAUAAAUGUCAAAAGACAUCAUACCGUAACAAACGGAUCGGAUCUAUUCAUACCCUGCAAGUUCACCUAUCCACCAAAAGCAAAGAAUGGAGAAAAUGUUACUAUUGCUGCUGUUUCCUGGAAAAUUUUUGUCACUGGAGUUUUUGAAUGUGACGACAUAUAUCCCGGAGUAUUCAUUUCCCACUCGAAUGAGAUGUGCGUGAAGGAGGAGUACAGAAAUAAGACCAGACUCACUGGAAAUGCAGCCAGCGGUGACUGCUCCAUUCAGAUCCUCGACAUCAGGGACAAUGUGACAAGCCUAUUCGUGAGGGUUUACGGGAAGGGGGAAAGCUACAGUUUCUACAACAGUCAAGUCUCCAUUACUGUGAAUGGUCAGAAUUUCAGUAAAGCUUUUAAAUUAUGAUUUAAAACAUUUGCUCAAUGACCAAAAAUAUAACUAAUAUCUGUAUCUUUCUUCCAUAUGGCGAGGUGCUAUACCAGCCACUGAAAACCCACUCAGCAUUUACAAGUCUUGCAUUUUUCACAGCUGAAGCCUCAGAAACUGCAACCUUGAUGUAUACGAGCAUCUUUGUACCGACUGCUGCACUUCUGAUCAUUCUCCUUGUUGCUGGAAUUUUCUUUUGGAUGAGACACAAACGGUCACACAAUUUCACAAGGAAGGAUUCUGGAUAUUAUGCAAACUUCAGCAGAGCAUCAUCAGACCCACCUAAAAGAGAGAUAUCUGACAAAAAAGACAAGGAACUUCCUGAAGUGAAAGUUAUCGAUGAACCCGUGUACAUCAAUGUAGAGGCCCCAACAAAUGAGAUGGACCAAAGUAUGGAUGUCACAGAAAAUGUAUACGCAAAUGUAGAUUAUACAAAAAAAUAGAAAAAUUACAUGUCAAAACUGCACAUGAACUUUAUUUAAAAAGCCAUUUCUGUAUUCUGCAUUGUUUUGUGCACAUGUUCACACCUGUGUGUCUGAGUUUGAAGGAUGCAUGACAACAGGAAGAAAGAAGAAAUGAUGCAUUGUUUCUUCCAAGUGAUGAAAACUGCAAAACAAAGAACAGCAAAAGAGUUACAAUUGCUCUUUAACUGCUCAUUCCUGCAGUUUACAAAACAUUUACAUUCUUAUUGUUUGUUUACAGGGUUUAUUUUACAGUGUAGUGCAGCUUUAAUGUAGGAGAUAAUGAACAAAAUCUACAAUCCACAUUCAAACAAGGCCUCAGCAGCAUGAAAUACUCAAACCAAGACUGGAUCUUGCAGGUUUUUAGUGUUGUUUUCAUGAUAAUUCCCUCCCAAGCCAAUUUACAUGAGCUACAGUGAGGUACAGACAUAAAAAGCGACUUUUGUGCUAAAGUGUGGGACAAAUUCUUACUUGAUUUGUUCACUUCUGACGGCUGAAGUAACAUUCCAGUGCAGAGUGAAAUUGGGAAUGCAUUUUUGCACUAAAUAGAUUAUGAUUUCUACUCUUACUGUGAAGUUAUGCUUGAAAGGGAUGUCUGCAAAGCAAAAAUGUCUCUUUGUGUCUGCACAUGGGCGUUUAAAUAUUAUAGAAAGACUGACUUUAAAAAUGCUGAAGUCUCUCUAUCCAGUAUCCCUUGAAGUUCUCUCAAAAUAGAACAAAUUCCACAAGUCACAAUUUAAGUAUAAUGUUCAGCGAGAAUAGAAGAAAUACCAUGAAUGUAAAGGUGAUCUGGGGGUUGCUGCUUGUAGCAAGUUUUAAAUUCAUGAAGAAGACCAGGACAUGUGUCAUAGACAUUUAAUUAAAGUUGGUUUGUGUUUAUUUAACCUUAAUCUGACUCACCAGAUGUAGCUUGCGCAUAUAAAACUGCCACUAGCUGCAUGUUUUACGUAGCUUUCUCCUCCCCUUCUGCUAUCUAUGUGUUACUGUUUUCAAAGAUCUUGCAAUAAAGUUGCCCUUGUAUUUUUA
Long non-coding RNA from Acanthochromis polyacanthus (spiny chromis), 2180 nucleotides. RefSeq lists it as uncharacterized. NCBI's taxonomy places the organism in Eukaryota, Metazoa, Chordata, Actinopteri, Pomacentridae. The transcript is spliced from 7 exons. The record is from RefSeq and is a predicted model, not a curated record.